UACGGAGGGUGCAAGCGUUGUUCGGAAUCAUUGGGCGUAAAGGGCGCGUAGGCGGGACGUUAAGUCCGAUGUGAAAUCCCUCGGCUCAACUGAGGACGUGCAUCGGAUACUGGCGACCUUGAGUCCUGGAGAGGGUAGCGGAAUUCCCAGUGUAGAGGUGAAAUUCGUAGAUAUUGGGAGGAACGCCGGUGGCGAAGGCGGCUACCUGGACAGUGACUGACGCUGAGGCGCGAAAGCAUGGGUAGCAAACAGG
Molecule: ribosomal RNA, 253 nt
Filed under: uncultured bacterium
Lineage: Bacteria
Description: partial 16S ribosomal RNA
Rfam family: Bacterial small subunit ribosomal RNA
Source: RNAcentral